AUGGAUCUGAUGAGCCUUUCCCCAGAUUAUCGACUAUGAUUAUACUGUGCGCUAUAUUUGUUUUUCUCUUUCUUUGGAAGAGAAAUCAAGCCAGAAGCUCUGAUCCUU
This is a small nucleolar RNA of Dioscorea cayenensis subsp. rotundata (Guinea yam), 108 nucleotides long. RefSeq annotates it as small nucleolar RNA Z103. Lineage: Eukaryota; Viridiplantae; Streptophyta; Magnoliopsida; Dioscoreales; Dioscoreaceae. The record is from RefSeq and is a predicted model, not a curated record. The transcript has a single exon.